UAGACUUGACAUCUCCUGAAUUACCCGUAACUGGGGAAGUUCCUUCGGGAACAGGAAGACAGGUGGUGCAUGGUUGUCGUCAGCUCGUGUCGUGAGAUGUUGGGUUAAGUCCCGCAACGAGCGCAACCCUUAUUGUUAGUUGCUACCAUUAAGUUGAGCACUCUAGCGAGACUGCCCGGGUUAACCGGGAGGAAGGUGGGGAUGACGUCAAAUCAUCAUGCCCCUUAUGUCUAGGGCUACACACGUGCUACAAUGGCAAGUACAAAGAGAAGCAAGACCGAGAGGUGGAGCAAAACUCAAAAACUUGUCUCAGUUCGGAUUGUAGGCUGAAACUCGCCUACAUGAAGCCGGAGUUGCUAGUAAUCGCGAAUCAGCAUGUCGCGGUGAAUACGUUCCCGGGUC
Molecule: ribosomal RNA, 402 nt
Filed under: uncultured bacterium
Lineage: Bacteria
Description: bacterial SSU rRNA
Rfam family: Bacterial small subunit ribosomal RNA
Source: RNAcentral